RNAcentral lists this ribosomal RNA (380 nucleotides) under uncultured bacterium. RNAcentral's name for it is "bacterial SSU rRNA". It matches the Rfam family "Bacterial small subunit ribosomal RNA", at positions 362 to 758 of the family's 1533-position model. The record is from RNAcentral.
UAUUGGACAAUGGGCGCAAGCCUGAUCCAGCAAUGCCGCGUGAGUGAAGAAGGCCUUCGGGUUGUAAAGCUCUUUCACCCGUGACGAUGAUGACGGUAACGGGAGAAGAAGCCCUGGCUAACUCCGUGCCAGCAGCCGCGGUAAUACGGAGGGGGCAAGCGUUGUUCGGAAUUACUGGGCGUAAAGGGCGCGUAGGCGGCCUUGCAAGUUGGGCGUGAAAGCCCUGGGCUUAACCCAGGAAUUGCGCUUGAGACUGCAUGGGCUUGAGUGCGGGAGAGGUGAGUGGAAUUCCCAGUGUAGAGGUGAAAUUCGUAGAUAUUGGGAAGAACACCAGUGGCGAAGGCGGCUCACUGGCCCGCAACUGACGCUGAGGCGCGAAA